AUUAUCACAUUAUUAACUUUUUAGUAAACAUAGUAAUUUGAUGACAGUUAAUAGUUUUUCCUUAAUUUGCGCAAGUUUAUGGGAAGCGAGCUUAAAUAAUUUAUUUAAAACUAUUUAGAUGAUAGUUAAUUGUCAAAUUAAUGCCGUUAAAAGUUUCAGAAUAGAUAUGAAUUAAUGACUCAAGCAUUCAACCCAAUUAGUAUUCAUUAAAAUGCUACAUGCAUUACACCCUUCACUUGUACAAGCCCAGCUGAGCUGGUACACCUGCGCCAUUGCUCCAUGUUAAUGACUUUAGUCAAUCCCGGAUAGCGGCGCGUAGCGGCCGACCCCAAAAGUGGGAUAGCGGGAUAGCGCAUAGCGGGAUGGCCGCUAUUUUGAUUUUUCAUAUAUAAUUUUAUAUAAUUAAUAGAAUAAUAGUAUAUACAUAUAAUAACUAAAAAAAAGAUAAGUAUAACUUAAAAUCUAGAACAAACAGAUGAGAUGAUAGAGAAGAGAGGAGGAAGAGGAUGCCAUGCGAGAGAAUUGGUAACAAAAUGAAUUGAUUGAGAAUAGAAAAUUAAGAGGAAAAGAAAGGAAAGAAAAACAAAAAAAAACAGAGCAGAACAGAGGCCCUAGGGCAGUGGUCGCCGGAGAUUGGCUGAAAGUCACCUCACAGCGUUCGUUGGAAGUUGGACGGUGCUUGUCGGAGGUCGGCGGUGGCCAUGGGUGCUGAUCGAAGGUGGAAGGUGGCUGAAGAAGAUCGCAGUGGCCAUGGGUUCUGUCGCUGAAGAAGAAGCUGAAGAAGAAGAUGAAUAGUGAGAGAUGAAACGCGCGUUCAUUUAUUUAUGUGCGAAAUCCCAAAAUUGCCCUCAAAGUUUAACCUAAUUAUAAAAUUUCAAGGGCAAUUUAGGUUUUUCCACAACUGUACCUUAUCUUCUUCUUGUGGCGCCGUGAUCUCACGCGAUCUGGCUGCGAUUUGCGGCGCGACAGCCGCGACGGCGUUCCGCGACGCGAUGGCUUCAGAAUCGCGGCGAGCGGCCGCGACGCGACGGCGCGAUAGCGCCGCGAUUUGCCGCGAUCGAUAACUAUGCUUUGCGGCCAGGCCAAUUGACCCUGGCAUUAGUGCUGGCACCAAGCCCUUUGUUGUUGUACUCAGCGUAAUAUAAUGUGUUGAGUGCAAAGUUUCCUUCCCAAGGUAGCCAUCCAUCAUGGUGAAUAAGGUAGCCAUCCAUCAUUUACCUAGUAUCUCCACUGAGUUGAUGACCGGGUCGAGUUUAAUGACACUGCUCUCAAGUCACAAAUCAAAUGUAUACAUUCUUCAAAGAUUCUAAAUUAGAAAGAAGACAAUGGGACUCACUAGUUAAGCGAAAAGAUUUUUCAGCCACCUUAAAGUUUAUUUGACUAACUUAAAGCUUACUGCUUAAAGUGUAUUUGACAAUUUAACUAGCUUAAAAACUCUUCUAAAGUAUUUGGUAAAAAAGCUUAUUUUUGGUAGCUUAUAGCUUUUUUCAUAAGCUACUUGAGGUUAUUCUCAUUUUUUAUGGUUACCAUUUUAAUAAAAUUUCAUCAUUCUCUUUUUUAUUGGUAACACUCGUGAGUAUGAACAAGUAAAAUUGAAUAGAAACCGAAGAGGAUUCCUAUUCCAGAACCAAAAUGAUCCUAGCCUAGGGAGAAGAUUGAAUUGACAAUUUGGGAAAGAACAAGGAAUUAGGGUUUACAAGUGAUCCCAAUGAUCACACUGGUUCCACAACCAGAUCCCAAACUCUAUUUCGAAGAUAACUUCCUCAUGAAGCUACUACUACUAUUUAUAGCCUAACUCUGUUAACAGUACUAACUGCUAACUGUUCCAGCUGGCAUAACUGCUCUAACAGUUCCAACCGUCAAAUCUUGACAAUUAUUCUUAUUACACUUGAGUCCUCGAAUUACCUACUGCUUACUCAUUCUAGUUCUCGUCCUAGCAUAGACAAGUUUCAAGGCUGGUUUAUUACCCUUGGAUCUAUCAUUUAUAAUUUUAAAAACACUAAACUUUUAUUAUAUUAUUUUUCUAUGCGGUUGUCGUCGCUUCAAGCAAGCAGCUUCAGCCACCACUGCGAACACCGUCGACCCUCGCACCAGUAGUGGAGUUUGCCCGUCGACCGCCGCGAGACCUAGCGCCACCAUUUGAACCUCAGCGCCACCUUGAAGGUUCAACUACUGCUUUACUUGGUUUGCCUUAUAUCUGAAAUCCAUUUUUUCGAAUCCAAAAGUUGCAGAGGAGCUAGUACAUACAAUACACAACCACGGUUGGAGCUCACAGGCAAAGUAAUUCGUGUGCCUUUCGUUGCUAUUUCCAUCAAUUUGUUUAAAAGGAUGUGGGGCUGAUGAGAAGACUGUGAGAGCAAUAUUGGGCCAUAGGAGUGUUCAUCAGAGGCAGCAAAUCAGAAAGGUUUAUGAGGAGCUUUACCGAGAGGGUAUCAUCAAACACCUUGAGUCUGAGCUCUCUGGUAACUUUUAGGUUGGUGGGAUUGCUGCCAAAGCUUCAGAGAUGGUUUUGAAGUUUCCACUGCCAUCUUUUGCCACCGUGACAUUAGGUAUGGGUUUCUCAUCUGUUCCCUUCAACUCUGGAAGGCUAAGCCAAGCAGGACCAGGACCAGGAGCCAAAAUUGGAGCAGGUCCAGGAGCAUAAACAGGAGAUGGGCCAGGAGCAGCUGAACCAGGACCAGGAGCAGGACCAGGAGCAGGAACAAUGCCAGAACCAGGAGCAUGAGCAGGAGCUAGAGGGGCAUCAGUUUUUCCCCAUGGUAAGUGAAACCCUGAAGCUCCAUCGAAUGCAGAAAAGAAUGUAGACACCUCUGACACAACAGAAAGGGAAUUGCUAAUAAGUUCCCGAGAUUCCUUAAAGAGCUUCUCAAAUUCAGUCUUCAAUUUUCCUUCUGGAAACCCAUCAAUGCAGGUCUGUUGGUAAGAUAUGACUGCACUGAGCCAGUUGUUAAGUUCAGAAGAUUUCUCGGAAAGCUUAGCCAAAUCAUUUGAUCCAACUUCAGUGAUAGAGAAUCCCAUUUCUUCCUUGGCAUCCUCAAAGAGCUGCUUGCAAUCUUCAUAUGCUCCUUUCUCCUCCUCAGAAGCAAACUUCAAGGUGGCGGUUUUGUUGAAGGCCUUGUUAAUCUCAGCCUCAGCAAGCACCAUGGAAAUCAAGAGAAGAUCCUUUGGCUUUGCAUGUCUAGGGUCCUUCUUCAAUGCCUCAGUGCUGAGGGAGCAUUCACUUUGUUGUUGCUGUCAGGGCCAGUUCUUUUGACAACAACAAAUGCUGCAGCAGCUACCACACAUGCAAGGAGAAUGGAGGAAAUUCCAAUGAUGAUAAUCUUCUUUCUCAUUUUCAUCUUCU
Molecule: long non-coding RNA, 3343 nt
Organism: Lotus japonicus
Lineage: Eukaryota; Viridiplantae; Streptophyta; Magnoliopsida; Fabales; Fabaceae
Exons: 4
Source: RefSeq, a predicted model, not a curated record